GCUGUUACUCAGAGACUGUUGAGGCUAGUGAGAAGUCUCUGUGGAGGUUUCUGGAGAGUGUGGCUGCUUGUCCUUAGUGGCUGAUCCUAUCCUGAUUCCUAUUCUGAUUCCUAUCCUGCCUGCUGUCUGGUGUGCUGUAUUUCCUUGAAGAAAAACCCUGUGAUCCUAAACCACCUGUCUACAGGAAUUCCUGUCAUAAUGUGAGCUGCCAAGUGCCAACCCAUUCUGAGAUGCAUCCAAGCAUUUGAGGUAUAUUUUAUUUUACUAGAACUUCAUUACCUCAGGAAGAGUACCACAUUAUUGUCGCUUACAGGAUAUUUUGCAUGUAAAAUGCCCUUGGGGAUGUUCAAUAAAUUACUGCUAGACCACUUGGCAUAAUAUCUCUCAGUAAUGUUAUAAAAUAAUUAUGGAACAUUUCACUUUAUUAAAUUUCUAACAUGUAGUGAUGAAAUAAUCAUAAAACUUUCUUACCUUAGAUCUA
RNAcentral lists this long non-coding RNA (481 nucleotides) under Monodelphis domestica (gray short-tailed opossum). RNAcentral's name for it is "lncRNA (ENSMODG00000039117.1)". Lineage: Eukaryota; Metazoa; Chordata; Mammalia; Didelphimorphia; Didelphidae. The record is from RNAcentral.